Molecule: small nucleolar RNA, 99 nt
Organism: Elaeis guineensis (African oil palm)
Lineage: Eukaryota; Viridiplantae; Streptophyta; Magnoliopsida; Arecales; Arecaceae
Product: small nucleolar RNA Z159/U59
Source: RefSeq, a predicted model, not a curated record
AUCUCCGACGAUAAUCAAAAGAAUAACUUUCGUUCUUCUGAUGGUGGUGAUGAUCGCCACAUAUGCGGAAAAGCUUAUGGAGACAUGAACUGAGGAGAC